CAAAAAAUAUCCUGAUAGAGUAGUGCCCCUUUGGCACUUUAGAAAUCUUGUAGCAAUUUGAAGGACCUUCAGACAAGGGGAAAUAGCGAAGAGUUUUAAGAGGAGGUGUAAUGUAACUUGUUUUAGAUGCAUUUGCAGGUAUGUUUCAGACAAGGGGAAAUAGCGAAGAGUUUUAAGAGGAGGUGUAAUGUAACUUGUUUUAGAUGCAUUUGCAGGUAUGCCUCCUGUAUAUCCAAAGUCUUUAUACCAUAGGGUAGUUGUUGGUUUUGUUUGAACAUUUUGACGAGCCCCGCAACUUAUGCGCAUAGCAAAUGGUCCU
Molecule: long non-coding RNA, 319 nt
Filed under: Lathyrus oleraceus (garden pea)
Lineage: Eukaryota; Viridiplantae; Streptophyta; Magnoliopsida; Fabales; Fabaceae
Description: Pisum sativum (pea) long non-coding RNA (PSAT_LNC003915)
Source: RNAcentral